RNAcentral lists this small RNA (127 nucleotides) under Marmota monax (woodchuck). Lineage: Eukaryota; Metazoa; Chordata; Mammalia; Rodentia; Sciuridae. The record is from RNAcentral.
GCCAGGUGUAGUGGUGCAUGCCUAUAAUCCCAGCAACUCAGAAGGCUGAGGCAGGAGGAUUGCAAGUUCAAAGCCAGCCUCAGCAAUUUAGUGAGGCCCUAAGGAACUUAGUGAGACCCUGUCUCUU